GCGUGAUCUUGCCGUCGGCGGUGGUCUCGUCGUUGCCGACGUCGAGGUGCUCCUUGAGCCGCUCGAAGAUGAGGUCGCCGCCCAUGACCGCGCA
RNAcentral lists this transfer RNA (94 nucleotides) under Thiemannella venezuelensis. Its description in RNAcentral is "Planomonospora venezuelensis tRNA-Gly". Lineage: Bacteria; Bacillati; Actinomycetota; Actinomycetes; Streptosporangiales; Streptosporangiaceae. The record is from RNAcentral.